This 253-nucleotide ribosomal RNA is filed under the name uncultured bacterium. RNAcentral's name for it is "partial 16S ribosomal RNA". It matches the Rfam family "Bacterial small subunit ribosomal RNA", at positions 524 to 776 of the family's 1533-position model. The record is from RNAcentral.
UACGGGGGGGGCAAGCGUUGUUCGGAAUUAUUGGGCGUAAAGGGUGCGUAGGCGGUUUGGUAAGUCUCUUGUGAAAUCUAUGGGCUCAACUCAUAGUCUGCAAGGGAAACUGCCGGGCUUGAGUGUGGGAGAGGUGAGUGGAAUUUCCGGUGUAGCGGUGAAAUGCGUAGAUAUCGGAAGGAACACCUGUGGCGAAAGCGGCUCACUGGACCACAACUGACGCUGAUGCACGAAAGCUAGGGGAGCAAACAGG